UACGUAGGGUGCAAGCGUUGUCCGGAAUUAUUGGGCGUAAAGAGCUCGUAGGCGGUGUGUCGCGUCUGCCGUGAAAACCUGCGGCUUAACCGUGGGCGUGCGGUGGAUACGGGCACACUUGAGUUCGGUAGGGGAGACUGGAAUUCCUGGUGUAGCGGUGGAAUGCGCAGAUAUCAGGAGGAACACCAGUGGCGAAGGCGGGUCUCUGGGCCGAAACUGACGCUGAGGAGCGAAAGCGUGGGGAGCAAACAGGAUUAGAUACCCUGGUAGU
RNAcentral lists this ribosomal RNA (271 nucleotides) under uncultured prokaryote. RNAcentral describes it as "partial 16S ribosomal RNA". It matches the Rfam family "Bacterial small subunit ribosomal RNA", at positions 524 to 794 of the family's 1533-position model. The record is from RNAcentral.